RNAcentral lists this unclassified non-coding RNA (266 nucleotides) under Hevea brasiliensis (rubber tree). Lineage: Eukaryota; Viridiplantae; Streptophyta; Magnoliopsida; Malpighiales; Euphorbiaceae. The record is from RNAcentral.
GUAUGAAAAUUUUUUACAAUCCUUGAACUUGAAAGAGUAGCACAUUGGGAAUAUAGGGUGUGUAACCUGUUGAAGCUCUUCAAGUUAGACUGAUUGUGAUGCAUAAGUAUGUAUUAUGAGUAUACCAAAACAGAAUAUCAGUGUAUCCCAAUCCAAACAGAAAUAUUAUUGCGAGUAAUUUAUCCAAGAACUCAACUGUGGUGCUGUUUGGUACAAUUUCCUAAGUAUUGCAGUAUUGGGACCUCUUGGUAUUACUUGGGGCUAAU